RNAcentral lists this ribosomal RNA (259 nucleotides) under uncultured bacterium. RNAcentral's name for it is "partial 16S ribosomal RNA". It matches the Rfam family "Bacterial small subunit ribosomal RNA", at positions 524 to 776 of the family's 1533-position model. The record is from RNAcentral.
UACGUAGGGGGCAAGCGUUGUCCGGAUUUAUUGGGCGUAAAGAGCGUGUAGGCGGCCAGGUAGGUCUGCUGUGAAAAACUCGAGGCUUAACCUCGAGAUGUCGGCGGAAACCAUCUGGCUAGAGUCCGGAAGAGGAGUGUGGAAUUCCCGGUGUAGCGGUGAAAAUGCGCAGAUAUCGGGAAAGAACACCCCGUGGCGAAGGCGGCACUCUGGGACGGUACUGACGCUGAGACGCGAAAAGCGUGGGGGAGCGAACGAG